AUCUAAUUUAUAAUAAAAAUUUAUCACUAUGACAUUACAGUAAACUUCAAAAAUGAAUUUAACUUAUAGCUUGUAUAAUUAAAUUUAAAUUUCAGUUAUAAAUAUAUGAUUUAGUCAAAUAAAUUUAAUUAAGUUUAAGUUUAACAGUGGAAUCAGGCUAAUAGUAUAUUUAACAUAAUUUAAAUUAUUAUAAUAAAUAAUGAAAUAUUUAUUAAUUAUGAGAAAUUAAUGCUUAAUGAAUAUAGAUAGAUAUGAUUAAUUAUAUUUAAUAUAAUUUAUACAUAGUAAUUACGAUUACAACAAAGAAGGUGAAAUUAUUAUGAGACCUGUAUUUUAUACAUUAGAUUUUAUUAUUAAAGUAUGAUGAGAGUAAACUUGUCGGAAUAUAGGGGUACCAUCCUCUAAGGCUAAGUAUUUAUAAAUUUAGCGAUAGUGAAAAGUACCGUGAGGGAAAAGUUGAAAAGAGUGUAGAAUAAUAUUAUACGUAAAAAUAGAAAUAAAGAUACAAAUAAUAUUAGUUCUUAUCGAACAAAUUUGUUCGAACGAAUGUAAAUAACACGCAGUGAAAAAGAUCAUGAAUUAGUAACUCUAUAAGCAGUCAAAGUCACAAAAUUAAAAUUUGGAACGUGACAAUGGCGUACCUUUUGCAUAAUGGGUCAGCAAGUUAAUAGCAGUAGCAAGGUUAAAAGCCUAAGCGAAAGCGACUAUAAUAAAAAAUAUGGGUUAAGUUACUGCUAUUAGACCCGAAGCCAGGUGAUCUUUCCAAGAACAGAUUAUUAACGGAUCGAACGGGUGAAUGUUGCAUUAUUCUCCGAAGAUUUUUGGAAAGCGGUGAAAUGCCAAUCUGACCUGGUUAUAGCUGGUUUUCUACGAAACAUAUUUUAGUAUGACAUCUAUUCAAUAUUUAUGGAGGUACAGCACGAUAAUUCCAUACGAAUAUUUAAUUAAUUUUAAUAGGAGUUUAAUUUGUGGGGACUUAAAAAUCUUACCAAUGGAAAUAAAUCUCGGAAUUACAUAAAUAGAUGGUAGAUAUUCAGACUAUUCAUGAUAAGUUGAAUAGUCAAGACGGAAACAGCCGUGAACACUGAUUAAGGUCCCGAAUGAUUAUUAAGUGAAAUAAAGGAAGUUACAAAUUGAAUGCAGUUGAAAAGUGAGCCUGGUAGUCGCUACUUAUAAUGAACGUGUAUCAACGUAUCAGCUUUUAGAUUGUUGCUCCGAAGAUUUAACGGGUCUAAAAUAAUCAACCGAUAUCGUGUUAAUUCUAAAGAUAGUAAAAUUUUAUCUAUAUUUAGAAUUUAGGUAGUAGAACAUUCAGAUAAUUCAAAGAAAAUAUUCCUCUAGGAAAGGAAUACAAACCUAAAAUUGACAGUGUUCCAUUGUUUAUAAAAUAGGAAUCUGAAGAGAUAAUGCUGACAUGAGUAACGUAAAAAGAAAGUUUAAACUUUCUCGCCGAAUACGAAAGGGUUAUUAGCUAAAGAUUAAAUCUACUAAUGUAAAUGCGGUCUCUAAGGUACAAAACCAACGUUUUGACUGAUGAGUAUAGCUUUGAAAGUCCAUAUGGAGAAUAAAAAUUUACAUAUAAAUUAUUUAUAUAAUUAGUAAAAUUUUAUAAAUUGGGCCAGGAAAAAGAUGUUUUGAAUAACUUCAAUUCUAUAUCUUAAAUUAGUCUUAUAAUUUUAUAAGUUUUUAUAUCAAAAAUUAAAUAUAAAUUGUAUUUAACUAAGAUCAAACUAAUCAUUUGAUUAUUAUUAAUUAAAUUUAUAUUUGUAUAAGCAAAAAAACCUAAAUUAGUAAAAGUUAAAUUAUUUAUAAAAUUUAGUGAGAGCUGAUUAAGAAGUAAUAUAAUGAUUUAGGUUAGUUUUAUUUAAGUAUAGUUUUUAAGCACAACCGUACCCUAAGCCGACACAGGUUCGUAGGUAGAGUAUACUAAGGCGUAGAGCUAAAAGUUGUUAAGGAACUCGGCAAAUUAUCCUCAUAAGUUAGACAAGAAGAGGAACCAUGAAUCUUAGUAAAUUAAUAACUCCUAUUAAUUUAUUUAUAUGGUGUCACAAAAUCGGAAGCCCCGACUGUUUACUAAAAACACAACUAUCUGCAAUUAUGAAAAUAAUAGUAUAGGUAGUGAGAUUUGCCCAAUGCCAUAAUAAUAAGUAAUAAUAAUGGGUAACUGUUUCUUUACAAAAAUUUGGUUAAUAGCGGUCUUAACUAUGAGGAUCCUAAGGUAGCAAAAUAAAUUGGCCAUUAAAUGUGGUCCAGUAUCAAUAAUUUAACGAUGGCUUCACUGUCUCUACAACUUGCUCAGUGAAAUUGAAUUACCCGUGCAGAUGCGGGUUACCUCAAAGAGGACGGGAAGACCCCAUGCAGCUUUACUGUAGCUAGUUAUCAUAUAAAAAGUUUUAUAACCUCGGUUAUACAGAUAAUAGGGAGUCGAUUUGACAUCUAUGGAAAACCUUAGGUCUGAGGUGGAACUGGUAUUUAUCUUCUUAUUUAGAAAAUUUAAGAGGAAAUAGCUGACUAGUUGGCAGUUUGACUGGGGCGGUCGUCUUUAAUAGAGUAGCAAAGUACAUCCAAAUAGAUUAAAAUUAUAAUAAUAUUUCUUAUCUAAUAUGAAAUAUUCUGACAAAUAAUUUAUAUUGUUAAUUAUUAUUUAAAUAAUUACUUAAAAUCAAUUUUUAUAUUUCAUUUUAAAGGUAUGCUAGACAUUAAAUGGAGGUUAAUGAACCAUGAAAGGUUCUGUAGAGUGCAAUGACGGUAAGCAUGCUUAACUGAAAGACUUAAUAGUCGAACAGAUACGUAAGUAGGGCAUAGUGACCCUUUGCUAUAUUAUGGAAUAGACAGGGAUCAAUUGAUAAAAGUUACGCUGGGGAUAACAGCCUAAUAGCCAGCGAGAGUUCACAUUGUCCUGGCUGUUUGGGACCUCGAUGUCGACUUAAUUUAUCCUCCAGGAGCAAAAUCUUGGAAGGGUUCGGCUGUUCGCCGAUUAAAAAAUUACAUGAGUUGGGUUUAAUACGACGUGAGUCAGUAUGGUCCCUAUCCUUUUGAGGGAUAAAUAGUAAAAAGGGGUAGACCUUCUAGUACGAAAGGACCAAUAGGCUGUGUUUCUCUAGUGUACCAAUUGUAAUAUGAAAUAAUGUGUAAUUAAGUUAGUUAAAUAACUUAGUUUUAUUAUUAAACUUUGCAUAGUUGGGUAGCCACAAACAUAUUAGAUAAUUACUGAAAGUAUAUCAAGUUCGAAUCUAUCCCCUAGAUACUAUCAUUGGAUUUCUUUUUGUUAUCUAUCACGAGUGGUUAAAAUAAUUUUCCAAAUUUUAAUCAUUUCUUGUAAUCGAUAUAAAAUAUAUAUACUACAAUUUUAUAC
This 3355-nucleotide ribosomal RNA is filed under the name Tylopilus plumbeoviolaceoides. RNAcentral describes it as "large subunit ribosomal RNA". It matches the Rfam family "Bacterial large subunit ribosomal RNA". Lineage: Eukaryota; Fungi; Basidiomycota; Agaricomycetes; Boletales; Boletaceae. The record is from RNAcentral.